UUCUUUCUUUCUUUCUUUCUUUCUCUCUCUCUCUCUUUCUCUCUUUCUCUCUUUCUCUCUUUCUCUUUCUUUUUAGGGACUCACCUGUGGCUUAUGGAAGUUCCCAGGCUAGGGGUCUAAUUGGAGCUGCAGCUGCCAGCCUAUGCCAGUCAUAGCAACACCAGAUCCGAGCCACAUCUGCCAUCUACCCUGCAGCUCAUGGCAAUGCUGGAUCCUUAACCCACUGAGCGAGGCCAGGGAUCGAACCCACAUCCUCACAGAUACUAGUAGGAUUCUUAACCUGCUGAGCCACAAGGGGAACUCCCUGACUUUCUUUAUUAACACGAAUCUUUUGAUGUUCUGACUACCUGGUUUUUGCUGCAAAAACUCCUGUAUAUCCUGCCCCUACCCCUGACCUCCUUUCCUCUUUGGAACCGGGCUUGAAGUCCUCAGAAAGUCAUCCAAUCAAAGUUGUGUAUAUUUUUCAGUCGACAUCACCUCUGUGCCAAGCACUUUCUAAGGCUUCACAUCCAUUUACUCGUGUAACCUUACCCGCCAUUCUUCGAGGUUGGUGACAUUUUUGUUUUCAACUUAGGAGGACGGAACCGAAUCACCAAGACGUCCCCUCAUCUGGCCCCAAGCCACACAGCCAGAAUGAACAUGGCAUGAGGGCACACAACCUUCAGAGACAGCAUUAGGGAUCAGGAUGUGGGGAGCCACGGAGACAAAAAAAGCGUGGCAUUUACAGAGAACUGCCAGCCUCUCCUGAGCAUAGCGCAAAGGACAAAGGCCACAACACGUGGGUAUGUUUUGCUGUGGGAAAUGCUUUGUUGGUGGCCCACAGGGUGCUUUUUGAAAAACCAGAGACCAACAUUUGAAAAUGGGGAGAUUUGAUCUAAAAACCCAGCUUACCUGGGUUGGGUUGGAAGAUCAGGAUCUGGGACCACAGAGCUGUAUUCUCCUACAGCAAGAAUCAAGUUUGGGAUGGUUCUCUUUGUAGCCACCCCCACUCUUCCCAGUUCACUGUGGCCCCCACAACCCUGAUGUCUCCCCCGUCUGCUCUGAUCAGUACACUGAUAGUAUCUGCCUGGCGUGCGUGAUGGGGAAGGGAUUGAGGAGCCAGGAGUAGAGGGUUCUGAGUGGAGGGAGGGCAGUGGUGAGCAGAUUUCUGUUUCACAGAGAUCCCUCUGGCAGCUGUCUGGAAGAAGGAUGGAUGGAGCAUCGGCUUGGAAGUGAGAAGCCAAUCAGGAAAUACGGUACUGUCCAGGCAGGAUCCAAGCGGGGGGGAUUAGUUUGGCAGGGCUUCUCUUCUCUACUUUCUCCUGGAGGAUCCGGAUGUAAAUGGCACUUUGAAAGCAAGCAGGUUUUCACUGUGGAGUCCGAGAUCCACAGAGACCCUCCAAAGUAACUUAGAGCCAAACAGAAAAAUCAGGAAGAUGUGCUUGGGAGCUAACUUUCAGGGCUGAUUGGAAGGAAGAACCCAUGUCAUCUCCCACCAGGAGAGGAGACAGGGCUGAGCCCCAUGGAACCGCCAGUGAAAAAGCACAGAAGAAUGUUUUCACUUUACAAGUGCCAUGAACAGAACUCAGGGACAGUCAGCAGAUGGUGCAGUGGGCAAAGGCAUGCCAAUGGAGUGGGCAGGUAAGAAGAAGAAAAGGAAUUCAAGACCUGGGGGCUCAGUGAGGACGUUUCACUUGACAAGGGGCAGGUCACGGGAGCUGGGGUCACACAGGAUGAUUCGGGCCAUUCUUGGCUGUGUGUCACUGUGUUCAUCCCUGAACUUCUCUCUGGGUGUUUCCUCACUUUUAAAAUGAAGAUAAUGAUACUGGGCGUCUGGAAGGGCAGGUUGUACACUGCAACGUGACCGACAGUUGUGAGAGACAUGGUACUGUCGUGUUACUGUCAUUGCCGUUUCUUUUCUCAUAUUGAACCCAGGGCUGACCCCAACCCAAAAGAAGUCAGGCAAAGAGGGUCAAGCCCGCCAUCUUUCUUUUCCCCCUUCCCAAAGUUUCCCAGAUCCGUCGCUAUCCCAAGACCCUGUCUCAGGCUAUGAAAUUCACACGAAAAAUUCAGAAAGCUCCUCCCACUUCCUACUUUUAAAGCAUUCCUCAAAGAAUGAUUUUCUAAAAGCAGUGUUUCAGAUGGCUCUUUCUGGAGCUCUCAAAUUUUACCUAAUGCGCAUCUAGAUUAAGUCGAGCCAAAGACCUGGAUAAAAGCAUAAAUAACCUCAGCCAAUAAGCAGACGUUUCCAAGUUUUCAUACUGCUUGGCUACGUAUAGACCAGAGUUAACGAACACAUUUCAAUUCACACACCAGAUCUAAUGGCAUGAAGCACUGUUUAAGCUAAGAAUGAGUCUAUGAUCCCUGGCCUCGCUCAGUGGGUUAAGGAUCCGGUGUUGCUGUGAACUGUGGUGUAGGUCACAGACACAGCUCGGAUCCAGUGUUGCUGUGGUUCUGGCAUAGGGGGGUGGCUACAGCUCCAAUUUGACCCCUAGUUUGGGAACGUCCAUAUGCCAUGGGUGGGUCAAAUCGGAGCUGUAGCUGCUGGCCACAGACACAGCCACAGCCACAGGGAUCCAAGUCAUAUCUGCGACCUACACUACAGCUCACAGCAACGCCAGAUCUUUAACCCACUGAGCAAGGCCAGGGAUCGAACCCACAUCCUCAUGGAUCCUAGUGGGGUUCGUUAACUGCCGAGCCAUGAAGGGAACUCCAAAAGAACCACUUUUAAACACAAGCAUCAUCUUUCAAAAUGUUAAAUGCUCAUACAUGCAAAACAAUGCCACACCUAGAAAUCCAUCCUAAAAGUUACUAAACACAUAUGGCUAAAGACAGAUUUGCUGUGCUCUCCUUGUAACACGGGGAGCAGACUAAAUGUUGAAGAGAAGGAGAAAAUAAAUCAUGGCACACUUGUAUUUUUGGAAGACUGGGCAGACAGUAAUGAGAAUGACAUAAUCCACAUACACUGCCAUGGAGCGCCACUCACCAUUUAUUGGGAGGUGAAAAAAAAAAGGAAGCCUGUGUAAAACUAUGAGUACUAUAUAACUGAAAGGAAGCAAUUUACAGUCCACACGUAUAUAAGUAUAAUAUGCCAUUAUGAAUAUAAACAAAUAAGUAAAUAAAGAUUCAGACCAAUUCUGUAGCAGGACAUCCCAUAGGAGACCCACCACAAGUCCUAGGAUGUCCUCACGGGAGCAGGUCCAAAAUAGCCCAGUUUAGAGGCAGUAGAGUCUCGACACCUGGGUAUACAUCCAAGCUCUUCAACCAGCUGGCCAAGAGACCUUGGGCAAGUCACUAGCUUCCCCGUGCCUCGUGUUUCCUGAUCUGUAGAGUGCGGACACUCAUCAUACCUAUGCUUCAUAUGACUGACACAAGCAUUAGGUAAGUGAAUACCUAUCAAGGUUUAAAAUUAUACCUGGCACACAGCAAGGGCUCAAUAAAUAUUAUCACUUCUCAAAAAAAAAUUCAGAUUAAACUUCAGCUGUGGUGACAUCUGUAGGUUAGGCU
RNAcentral lists this long non-coding RNA (3486 nucleotides) under Sus scrofa (pig). RNAcentral's name for it is "lncRNA (ENSSSCG00055014970.1)". The record is from RNAcentral. Lineage: Eukaryota; Metazoa; Chordata; Mammalia; Artiodactyla; Suidae.